UAUUAAAGGCAACGCCUGCCCAGUGAACAGUUAAACGGCCGCGGUACCCUAACCGUGCAAAGGUAGCGUAAUCACUUGUCUAUUAAUUGUAGACCCGUAUGAAAGGCAAAAUGAGGGUCUGACUGUCUCUUUUAGUAAAUCAAUUAAACUGAUCUCCUAGUCCAAAAGCCAGGAUACCAACAUAAGACCAGAAGACCCUGUGAAGCUUUAACUAAACUAUUAAACCAUAUAAUAGCUCCUUUAGGUUGGGGCGACCUUGGAAAAAAAAAGAACUUCCAAACAACUAUUUAUAACAAUAUUAUAUCAGGCUAACAAGCCAAUAACGACCCAGCAAAGCUGAUAACUGAACCAAGUUACUCCAGGGAUAACAGCGCUAUCUUCUUCAAGAGCCCAUAUCAAAAAGAAGGUUUACGACCUCGAUGUUGGAUCAGGACAUCCUAAUGGUGCAGCCGCUAUUAAGGGUUCGUUCGUUCAACGAUUAAC
RNAcentral lists this ribosomal RNA (483 nucleotides) under Suta fasciata. RNAcentral's name for it is "partial 16S ribosomal RNA". It matches the Rfam family "Bacterial large subunit ribosomal RNA", at positions 1844 to 2592 of the family's 2925-position model. Lineage: Eukaryota; Metazoa; Chordata; Lepidosauria; Squamata; Elapidae. The record is from RNAcentral.